Cyprinus carpio (common carp) is the source of this 666-nucleotide long non-coding RNA. Lineage: Eukaryota; Metazoa; Chordata; Actinopteri; Cypriniformes; Cyprinidae. The record is from Ensembl.
ACUAACAAGCUCGUGGACGACAUUGGUAUUGUGCUGUUGCGAUACCGUUGCUGGCGUUUCACGCUUUCGCGGGAUUAUAGUUUGAAUAAAAUCUCUGGAUGGACGGAAACGACUAUAUUUCAUGUCGUGUGGAUUACUGAGAGAGAGGUAGCCUACGCGUGGGAAUCGAGACACCUGAGCCGGAUAGCUACCUGUAACUUUUCUCUCUCGAAAGCUCUUCAUUGCGCUUUCGGUCGCUGGUUGACACGAUUCUCGCUGGGAAUUCGUCGCUGGACUGUAGACGUCGAUCGGAAGAUAUUUUGGAGGAGCGCUGUUGUUUAUCAUAAGAAACGGGAUUUAAUCGUGGAAACUACUACGAUGUCCGUUAUAGUGGAAACUCUGUUGCUGUAUAUGUUAAUUUCAGAAGGUAAGUCUUUUUCAGGUUUUUAACAUGGAAACAGGCAUUUUUCUUGGCUGCAUCACAAUAAUGGUCUUUCAGAGAAACUAUAUAUAGUUCAACCUUCAAUGGAGGGAGCUCUGCAGCUAUCGCUCAUGUACAGGCAAUGGAUAAGCUAACAAUCAAUGAUGGCAUUAAAACAUGUUUUCCUGCACUGCAUUUAAUAACAUAAAAUGCAUUUAAUGGGACAGUCAUGAUGAAUAAACUUUUGAAGCUAUGAAAAAGGGUCA